Molecule: transfer RNA, 64 nt
Filed under: Dipodomys ordii (Ord's kangaroo rat)
Lineage: Eukaryota; Metazoa; Chordata; Mammalia; Rodentia; Heteromyidae
Rfam family: tRNA
About the family: Transfer RNA (tRNA) molecules are approximately 80 nucleotides in length. Their secondary structure includes four short double-helical elements and three loops (D, anti-codon, and T loops).
Source: Rfam by way of RNAcentral
GGUGGCUCAAUGGUAGAGUGCUUGCCUCGCAUACAUGAGGCCCUGGGUUCAAUUCCUAGCACCA